RNAcentral lists this ribosomal RNA (468 nucleotides) under uncultured bacterium. Its description in RNAcentral is "partial 16S ribosomal RNA". It matches the Rfam family "Bacterial small subunit ribosomal RNA", at positions 28 to 507 of the family's 1533-position model. The record is from RNAcentral.
GAUGAACGCUGGCGGCGUGCUUAACACAUGCAAGUCGAACGGUGAAGGCGGAGCUUGCUCUGCUGGAUCAGUGGCGAACGGGUGAGUAACACGUGAGCAAUCUGCCCCUGACUCUGGGAUAAGCGCUGGAAACGGCGUCUAAUACUGGAUACGAGCUGCGAAGGCAUCUUCCGCAGCUGGAAAGAAUUUCGGUCAGGGAUGAGCUCGCGGCCUAUCAGCUUGUUGGUGAGGUAAUGGCUCACCAAGGCGUCGACGGGUAGCCGGCCUGAGAGGGUGACCGGCCACACUGGGACUGAGACACGGCCCAGACUCCUACGGGAGGCAGCAGUGGGGAAUAUUGCACAAUGGGCGAAAGCCUGAUGCAGCAACGCCGCGUGAGGGACGACGGCCUUCGGGUUGUAAACCUCUUUUAGCAGGGAAGAAGCGAAAGUGACGGUACCUGCAGAAAAAGCGCCGGCUAACUACGUG